RNAcentral lists this ribosomal RNA (414 nucleotides) under uncultured bacterium. RNAcentral's name for it is "bacterial SSU rRNA". It matches the Rfam family "Bacterial small subunit ribosomal RNA", at positions 355 to 775 of the family's 1533-position model. The record is from RNAcentral.
UCGAGAAUCUUUCACAAUGGGGGAAACCCUGAUGGAGUGACGCCGCGUGGAGGAUAAGGUCUUCGGAUUGUAAACUCCUGUCAUGCGGGAACAAAGCCCUCGCGGGUGUGAUAGUACCGCAAGAGGAAGAGACGGCUAACUCUGUGCCAGCAGCCGCGGUAAUACAGAGGUCUCAAGCGUUGUUCGGAAUUACUGGGCGUAAAGGGUGCGCAGGCCGCGCGGGAAGUCAAAUGUGAAAUUCAGGGGCUCAACCCCUGCAUUGCGCUUGAUACUUCCGCGCUCGAGCCUUGGAAAGGAGUCUGGAAUUCUCGGUGUAGCAGUGAAAUGCGUAGAUAUCGAGAGGAACACUAAGGGCGAAGGCAAGACUCUGGACAAGUGCUGACGCUCAUGCACGAAGGCUAGGGUAGCGAACGG